CCGCCUCCGCCCCUUCUGUUCUCCCAACAAGCGUCUGCCUCAUUUCCACCCGCCCGCUUUUCACCCGUCAAUAUGCACCGUCAAUGCUGACCAGGCGGCGCCGCCUCCUUCGCCUUCUCCAAAUGAAACCGCCAUUUCUUCCCGUCUGUCCUCUUGCACCACCCGGGCUCCAGAUCUCCUUUUCUGCUGUAUCUACUACCGCCUGAAACAAUUUAUGAGUUCAGUUAAUAAUAUGCAGAGAUUGGAUGUGGAAUGGUAUGGGAGAAUGAAAAAUAUUUAUAUAUGUGCAUUUACAGGGGAAAGAGAAGAUGAGGCGGCACAGGAACACAGGAAAUCAUGCAUGUGUAGAUCAUAGCUUGUCUCUCCAGUUCGUUCCAUUGUGCACCUGUGAAUGCAACUUCUCC
Molecule: long non-coding RNA, 404 nt
Filed under: Salvia miltiorrhiza (redroot sage)
Lineage: Eukaryota; Viridiplantae; Streptophyta; Magnoliopsida; Lamiales; Lamiaceae
Description: long non-coding RNA (SMIL_LNC009169)
Source: RNAcentral